UACGUAGGUGGCAAGCGUUAUCCGGAAUUAUUGGGGGUAAAGAGCGCGCAGGUGGUUAAUUAAGUCUGAUGUGAAAGCCCACGGCUUAACCGUGGAGGGUCAUUGGAAACUGGUUGACUUGAGUGCAGAAGAGGGAAGUGGAAUUCCAUGUGUAGCGGUGAAAUGCGUAGAGAUAUGGAGGAACACCAGUGGCGAAGGCGGCUUCCUGGUCUGCAACUGACACUGAGGCGCGAAAGCGUGGGGAGCAAACAGG
Molecule: ribosomal RNA, 253 nt
Filed under: uncultured bacterium
Lineage: Bacteria
Description: partial 16S ribosomal RNA
Rfam family: Bacterial small subunit ribosomal RNA
Source: RNAcentral